GUUUCUCAUGAAUUAAUAAAUAAAAUCUUAAAAAAAUAAGCUUAUAAAACUAAGAGAAAACUUGUUUGAACCCCUAGAGGAAAGUAUGAGGACAUCGAUUCAAGUAAUAAAUGAUCCAAAUGAAAAGAUAGAAGUUACUAAGAAAAGAACCAAAUGGAAAUUCUGGAAUUGAAAAAGAGACAGUAGCUAAAAUGAAAAAUUUACUAAAGGUGCUCAACAGCAGACAUGAGAUGGCAGAAGAAAGAAUAAGAAAACAUGAUGGUAAAUAAGUCAACAAAUUUAUCUGAAUAAAAGAAAGAAAAAAAAUAAAGAACAAAUCCUCAGAUACCUGUGAGGUAUCUAUCGCCAGGCAACCAGUGUAUGCAUAAUGGGAAUUCCAGAAAGAGAAGAGAGAUAUAAAUGACUUAAAAAAUUUGAAUAAUAAUGGCUGAUGUCUUCCCAUUUCAGAUUGAAAAAAAUUAAUUUUACAUGUGCUUAGUAAACGUUUGUCAGUCUCCUAAAUCUUAAAUGUAGAAUUACAAUACGGUCCAGCUAUUCCACUCCUAGGAAUCUACCCUAGAGAAGAUGUAUAUCCACACAAGGACUUUUAUUCAUUAUUCAUAAAAGCCUAUGAUGGCUAUGAUCCGGUAACCCUGAGUAAUGCAGGGCAAAGUUUCUACAUGAGGAUUUAUGUCUGACAAGCAAUGACCAUGGCAGGACUAUGAAGACGUUCCCUCCCAGCUCCCCACUCAGACCCGACUACUGGGGGACACGUCGGCGUUACCGAGAAAAACAAUCUGGAUGCUGGGGAAGUUGGAGCCAGUCUGGUAUUAAACAAAUAGACACAGAUAAUCUUCCCUAGUUACCAUCAAGCUUUCUCCCAGUGCUAAAGCUGAACCAACAGCUGUUGGAAGAAUCACAGGGAUUUUGGGAAUCCAACUAAAGAGAAAUUGAUUCAGAGAUAUAUUUGGUUAGAGGUCAGUAUUGUAUAUUGUACCAUUUGUAGUCACUUCCGUGCAGAGUUAAGUUAUUGCUAGUCAUACUAGUAUAGGAAAGUCUUCCAGGAAUAUUCUUAUCAUCUACUAUGCUGACCCAUCUUGCAUAGGACAUGAAAGCACAGGACUAGAAAAUCUCUGGUCCUACAACCGCAUCCUGUGGCUCUGGGCACUAUAAGGAGUGGGAGAAGAAAGGCUUAUAUAAUAUCCAGAGCCAGAUGCUAGUAUCUGGAAAAUUAUUAAUGAAGGUGUGUCAGAUAAAGAAUAAAAUAUUUUUGUGAAUAUUUUCUGCUUUUUUUGAUAUAUGUGAUUUUUUAUUCUGAAAUGAUUUUAUGUCAAUAAUUUUCUGUUGUUUUUUCUUAAAGAGAGAUCCCCCAAUUAUGUAAACUUCAUGUUCCCUAA
Canis lupus familiaris (dog) is the source of this 1376-nucleotide long non-coding RNA. RefSeq lists it as uncharacterized. Lineage: Eukaryota; Metazoa; Chordata; Mammalia; Carnivora; Canidae. The transcript has 3 exons. The record is from RefSeq and is a predicted model, not a curated record.